Molecule: ribosomal RNA, 468 nt
Filed under: uncultured bacterium
Lineage: Bacteria
Description: partial 16S ribosomal RNA
Rfam family: Bacterial small subunit ribosomal RNA
Source: RNAcentral
GACGAACGCUGGCGGCGUGCUUAACACAUGCAAGUCGAACGGAAAGGCCCUGCGUUUGUGCGUUGCUCGAUUGGCGAACGGGUGAGUAACACGUGAGUAACCUGCCCUUGACUUUGGGAUAACUUUAGGAAACUGGGGCUAAUACCGGAUAGGAGCUCCUGCUGCAUGUUGGGGGUUGGAAAGUUUCGGCUGUUGGGUGUGGACUCGCGGCUUAUCAGCUUGUUUGUGGGGUAGUGGCUUACCAAGGCUUUGACGGGUAGCCUGCCUGAGAGGGUGACCGGCGACCUUGGGACUGAGGGACGGCACAGACUCGUAAGGGAGGGAGCAGUGGGGAAUAUUGCACAAUGGGCGGCAGCCUGAUGAAGAAACGCCGCGUGCGGGAAGACGGCCUUCGGGUUGUAAACCGAUUUUGCCUGUGACGAUGCGUGAGUGAAGGUAAUGGGUACAGAAGCACCGGCUAACUACGUG